Molecule: ribosomal RNA, 497 nt
Filed under: uncultured bacterium
Lineage: Bacteria
Description: partial 16S ribosomal RNA
Rfam family: Bacterial small subunit ribosomal RNA
Source: RNAcentral
GAUGAACGCUGGCGGCGUGCCUAACACAUGCAAGUCGAGCGAACAGACGAGGGGCUUGCUCCUCUCACGUUAGCGGCGGACGGGAGAGUCACACGUGUAUCCCCUACCUAUAAUACUGGGAUAACUUCGGGAAACCGGCGCUAAUACCGUAGAAUAUAUUGAACCGCAUGGUUCAUUAGUGAAAGACGGUUUUGCUGUCACUUAUCGAUGCAUCUGCGCUGCAUUGGCUAGUUGUUACGGUAACGGCUUACCAAGGCAAGGAUGCGUGGCCGAGCUGAGAGGAUGGUCGGCCACACUGGAAGUGAACCGCGGUCCAGACUACUACGGGAGGCAGCAGUAGGGUAUGUGAGGCAAUAGGCGAGAGCAUGACGGAGCAAAGCCGCGUGAGUGAUGGAGGUCUUCGGAUCGGGAAGCUCUGUUAUGAGGGAAGAACAAAUGUGUAAGUAACUAUGCACGUCUUGACGGUACCGAAUAAGAAAGCAACGGCUAACUACGUG